AGCAGCCGCGGUAAUUCCAGCUCCAAUAGCGUAUAUUAAAGUUGUUGCAGUUAAAAAGCUCGUAGUUGAAUUUCGGGGUCAGCAGGUUGGUCGUGCCAACGGUAUGUACUGGCUUUGCUGAUUCCUCCUUCUUGUAGAACUGUAAUGCCAUUAAUUUGGUGUUGCAGGGAAACAGGACUGUUACUUUGAAAAAAUUAGAGUGUUUAAAGCAGGCUUACGCUUGAAUACAUUAGCAUGGAAUAAUGAAAUAGGACGUUGAUCCUAUUUUGUUGGUUUCUAGGAUUGACGUAAUGAUUAAUAGGGAUAGUUGGGGGCAUUAGUAUUCAAUUGUCAGAGGUGAAAUUCUUGGAUUUAUUGAAGACUAACUACUGCGAAAGCAUUUGCCAAGGAUGUUUUCAUUAAUCAAGAACGAAAGUUAGGGGAUCGAAGACGAUCAGAUACCGUCGUAGUCUUAACCAUAAACUAUGCCGACUAGGGAUCGGAUGAUGUUAAUUUUUAAUGACUCAUUCGGCGCCUUACG
This 520-nucleotide ribosomal RNA is filed under the name uncultured Glomus. Its description in RNAcentral is "SSU rRNA". It matches the Rfam family "Eukaryotic small subunit ribosomal RNA", at positions 569 to 1092 of the family's 1831-position model. Lineage: Eukaryota; Fungi; Glomeromycota; Glomeromycetes; Glomerales; Glomeraceae. The record is from RNAcentral.